Molecule: ribosomal RNA, 253 nt
Filed under: uncultured bacterium
Lineage: Bacteria
Description: partial 16S ribosomal RNA
Rfam family: Bacterial small subunit ribosomal RNA
Source: RNAcentral
UACGUAGGUGGCGAACGUUGUCCGGAUUUACUGGGCGUAAAGCGCGCGCAGGCGGACCGAUAAGUCAGAGGUGAAAUCUCCCGGCUCAACUGGGAGGGGCCCUUUGAUACUGUCGGUCUUGAGAUGCCUAGAGGAGAGUGGAAUUCCCGGUGUAGCGGUGAAAUGCGCAGAUAUCGGGAGGAACACCAAUGGCGAAGGCAGCUCGCUGGGACGGUACUGACGCUGAGACGCGAAAGCGUGGGGAGCGAACAGG